This 691-nucleotide ribosomal RNA is filed under the name uncultured bacterium. Its description in RNAcentral is "bacterial SSU rRNA". It matches the Rfam family "Bacterial small subunit ribosomal RNA", at positions 60 to 799 of the family's 1533-position model. The record is from RNAcentral.
AGUCGAGCGCCCCGCAAGGGGAGCGGCAGACGGGUGAGUAACGCGUGGGAAUCUACCUAGCUCUACGGAAUAACCCAGGGAAACUUGGACUAAUACCGUAUACGUCCUUCGGGAGAAAGAUUUAUCGGAGUUGGAUGACCCCGCGUUGGAUUAGCUAGUUGGUGGGGUAAUGGCCUACCAAGGCGACGAUCCAUAGCUGGUCUGACAGGAUGAUCAGCCACACUGGGACUGAGACACGGCCCACACUCCUACGGGAGGCAGCAGUGGGGAAUAUUGGACAAUGGGCGAAAGCCUGAUCCAGCCAUGCCGCGUGAGUGAUGAAGGCCCUAGGGUUGUAAAGCUCUUUCAACGGUGAAGAUAAUGACGGUAACCGUAGAAUAAGCCCCGGCUAACUUCGUGCCACCAGCCGCGGUAAUACGAAGGGGGCUAGCGUUGUUCGGAAUUACUGGGCGUAAAGCGCACGUAGGCGGACUAUUAAGUCAGGGGUGAAAUCCCGGGGCUCAACCCCGGAACUGCCUUUGAUACUGGUAGUCUAGAGUCCGAGAGAGGUGAGUGGAAUUCCCAGUGUACAGGUGAAAUUCGUAGAUAUUCGGAGGAACACCAGUGGCGAAGGCGGCUCACUGGCUCGGUACUGACGCUGAGGUGCGAAAGCGUGGGGAGCAAACAGGAUUACAUACCCUGGUAGUCCACG